UGACCUCGGAUCAGGUAGGGAUACCCGCUGAACUUAAGCAUAUAAAAAAGGGGAAAAAAAAA
RNAcentral lists this ribosomal RNA (62 nucleotides) under Umbilicaria aprina. RNAcentral's name for it is "partial 28S ribosomal RNA". The record is from RNAcentral. Lineage: Eukaryota; Fungi; Ascomycota; Lecanoromycetes; Umbilicariales; Umbilicariaceae.